Molecule: ribosomal RNA, 253 nt
Filed under: uncultured bacterium
Lineage: Bacteria
Description: partial 16S ribosomal RNA
Rfam family: Bacterial small subunit ribosomal RNA
Source: RNAcentral
UACGUAGGGUGCGAGCGUUAAUCGGAAUUACUGGGCGUAAAGUGUGCGCAGGCGGCCGCGCAAGUCGAGUGUGAGAGCCCCGAGCUUAACUUGGGAACUGCGCUCGAAACUACGUGGCUGGAGUGUGGCAGAGGAAGGUGGAAUUCCAGGUGUAGCGGUGAAAUUCGUAGAUAUUCGCAAGAACACCAGUGGCGAAGGCGGCUCACUGGCCCGGUACUGACGCUGAGGUGCGAAAGCGUGGGGAGCAAACAGG